UUUAUUUGGAGAGUUUGAUCCUGGCUCAGAACGAACGCUGGCGGCGUGCCUAACACAUGCAAGUCUACGAGAAGUCUGUAGCAAU
RNAcentral lists this ribosomal RNA (85 nucleotides) under Nitrospirota bacterium. RNAcentral describes it as "Nitrospirae bacterium (groundwater metagenome) partial 16S ribosomal RNA". It matches the Rfam family "Bacterial small subunit ribosomal RNA", at positions 1 to 83 of the family's 1533-position model. The record is from RNAcentral. Lineage: Bacteria; Pseudomonadati; Nitrospirota.